GGAGAGAUGCCGGAGUGGUUGAACGGCCAGGUCUCGAAAACCUUGGGGGGCAAUCGCCUCACGCGGGUUCGAACCCCGCUCUCUCCG
This 87-nucleotide transfer RNA is filed under the name Candidatus Woesebacteria bacterium. RNAcentral's name for it is "tRNA-Ser". It matches the Rfam family "tRNA". Rfam says of the family: Transfer RNA (tRNA) molecules are approximately 80 nucleotides in length. Lineage: Bacteria; Candidatus Woeseibacteriota. The record is from RNAcentral.